RNAcentral lists this ribosomal RNA (292 nucleotides) under uncultured bacterium. RNAcentral's name for it is "partial 16S ribosomal RNA". It matches the Rfam family "Bacterial small subunit ribosomal RNA", at positions 505 to 796 of the family's 1533-position model. The record is from RNAcentral.
GUGCCAGCCGCCGCGGUAAUACGAAGGGGGCUAGCGUUGUUCGGAAUUACUGGGCGUAAAGCGCACGCAGGCGGAUUGAUUAGUCGGGGGUGAAAUCCCGGGGCUCAACCUCGGAAUUGCCUUCGAUACUGUCAGUCUUGAGUCCGGGAGAGGUGAGUGGAAUUCCUAGUGUAGAGGUGAAAUUCGUAGAUAUUAGGAAGAACACCAGUGGCGAAGGCGGCUCACUGGCCCGGUACUGACGCUCAUGUGCGAAAGCGUGGGGAGCAAACAGGAUUAGAAACCCCGGUAGUCC